CUAAACAUGAUUUACAACCCAACCUUAUACAUAAUUCUUACAAAAAAUACAUCAUUAAUAUUAAGUCACUAUUUUUAAAACCACAUUGUGACGCUCAAUGUCACAACCCAUUAAACUCCUCACGUUUUGGGCAUGUUUCGGACUAUUCGGGCGCGUUUUCGAGCUUGGCGGGGCUUCGAUAAAUGCCCCGCAUUGCUGCCAACGUUCCAGCACCUUCUAGAUGGUCAAAAUAGGAUGGAAGCACAUUUAUUAGACUGUAGGAAGUUCACACGGGCUGGUAUGAAAGUGCAGAUUUUCCAGCUUUAAAAGGUCCACAAAGGUUGGCAUGCAUGUGCAGAAAUUUCAGCAUGCAUGUGCAGGAUUUUCGGAUUUUC
This 374-nucleotide long non-coding RNA is filed under the name Capsicum annuum. Its description in RNAcentral is "long non-coding RNA (CANN_LNC001086)". The record is from RNAcentral. Lineage: Eukaryota; Viridiplantae; Streptophyta; Magnoliopsida; Solanales; Solanaceae.